This 114-nucleotide ribosomal RNA is filed under the name Malus domestica (apple). The record is from RNAcentral. Lineage: Eukaryota; Viridiplantae; Streptophyta; Magnoliopsida; Rosales; Rosaceae.
ACAUUUUGGGACCUCACUGGCUCCGGAUCCCAUAAGAACUCCAAAGUUAAGUGAGUUUGGGCGAAAGCAGUCCUAGGAUGGGUGACCUCCUAGGAAGUUCUCGUGCUGAAACCC